This 232-nucleotide ribosomal RNA is filed under the name uncultured bacterium. Its description in RNAcentral is "partial 16S ribosomal RNA". It matches the Rfam family "Bacterial small subunit ribosomal RNA", at positions 28 to 261 of the family's 1533-position model. The record is from RNAcentral.
GACGAACGCUGGCGGCGUGCUUAACACAUGCAAGUCGAGCGGUAAGGCCCUUUCGGGGGUACACGAGCGGCGAACGGGUGAGUAACACGUGGGUGACCUGCCCUCAGCUCUGGGAUAAGCCUGGGAAACUGGGUCUAAUACUGGAUAUGACUCCACGGUGCAUGUCGUGGGGUGGAAAGCCUUGUGCGGCUGAGGAUGGGCCCGCGGCCUAUCAGCUUGUUGGGGGGGGUGA